This 388-nucleotide ribosomal RNA is filed under the name uncultured bacterium. Its description in RNAcentral is "bacterial SSU rRNA". It matches the Rfam family "Bacterial small subunit ribosomal RNA", at positions 420 to 806 of the family's 1533-position model. The record is from RNAcentral.
GAGUUGUAAACUUCUUUUAUAUUAGAAUAAAGUGCAGUAUGUAUACUGUUUUGUAUGUAUAAUAUGAAUAAGGAUCGGCUAACUCCGUGCCAGCAGCCGCGGUAAUACGGAGGAUCCGAGCGUUAUCCGGAUUUAUUGGGUUUAAAGGGAGCGUAGGUGGACUGGUAAGUCAGUUGUGAAAGUUUGCGGCUCAACCGUAAAAUUGCAGUUGAUACUGUCAGUCUUGAGUACAGUAGAGGUGGGCGGAAUUCGUGGUGUAGCGGUGAAAUGCUUAGAUAUCACGAAGAACUCCGAUUGCGAAGGCAGCUCACUGGACUGCAACUGACACUGAUGCUCGAAAGUGUGGGUAUCAAACAGGAUUAGAUACCCUGGUAGUCCACACAGUAAA